This 502-nucleotide ribosomal RNA is filed under the name uncultured bacterium. RNAcentral's name for it is "partial 16S ribosomal RNA". It matches the Rfam family "Bacterial small subunit ribosomal RNA", at positions 30 to 523 of the family's 1533-position model. The record is from RNAcentral.
AUUGAACGCUGGCGGAAUGCUUUACACAUGCAAGUCGAACGGCAGCAUAGGUGCUUGCACCUGAUGGCGAGUGGCGAACGGGUGAGUAAUAUAUCGGAACGUGCCCAGUCGUGGGGGAUAACGUAGUGAAAAUUACGCUAAUACCGCAUACGAUCUAAGGAUGAAAGCGGGGGAUCGCAAGACCUCGCGCGAUUGGAGCGGCCGAUAUUAGAUUAGGUAGUUGGUGAGGUAAAGGCUCACCAAGCCAACGAUCUGUAGCUGGUCUGAGAGGACGACCAGCCACACUGGGACUGAGACACGGCCCAGACUCCUACGAGAGGCAGCAGUGGGGAAUUUUGGACAAUGGACGCAAGUCUGAUCCAGCCAUUCCGCGUGCAGGACGAAGGCCUUCGGGUUGUAAACUGCUUUUGUACGGAACGAAGAGGUCUCUAUUAAUACUAGGGGCUCAUGACGGUACCGUAAGAAUAAGCACCGGCUAACUACGUGCCAGCCGCCGCAGUAA